AAGCCAGUAAGAAACAGAUGACGAGUUAGACCUGCUUUAUUGCACCGUGAUAAGAAGGAAUCAGAGUGCCCACUGUUUUAGCUGCAAGUUGAAGGUUGGCUAUAUGCUGCAGAUGCGACAAUUUGUCGGCAAGAAGCUGUGGCUACGAAUUGUCGGCAACUUCCAGGAAGUCCACGGUAAAGCGGUAAAAGAAAAGUUCGUUCGUGACGUCUUUGGCGUGUAGCUUUGCAGAGUGAAGAGGGGGGCAAAUUGCAAAAAGUGGAAAAAUUUGGAAGUGCAAAAAGUUGUGUGGAAAAUUUUCAUUCCCGCAAGUUUUAGCCUCCACAGAUUUUGCUGCCCUUAGUUGCCAAAGUUGAACCAUAUCCUUCCUUGUCUCAUCGCAGAAAGCAUCCCCCCAUCACCAUUGCAGAACACUUUCAUCCUAAUUCCAAUCCCAAGCGAGAAAAAAAUGGCUGAUGCUGCUGUUAGUGCUACUAUUAAGGUUGCAUUGCAGGCGGUUGUUUCCCUUGCUGCUGAUCAUGUUAAUCUGGCUCGUGAAUUCCCAGAGGAGCUGGAGAGACUCAACAAAUCUGCUGAAAUGAUCCGAGGCUUCUUGGCCGGUGCUGACGAGGUAAAACAUAGCCAUGAUCCGAGGCUUCUUGGGGUGCAAAAGUGGCUCGAGCAGCUGGAAGAAGAGGUUUUCAAAGCUGACAAUGUGCUGGACGAGCUCAACUAUGAAAAUCUUCGUCGGCAGGUGAAGUAUCAACAUCAACUCAUGAAAAAGAAGGUAUUCUUCUGCUUUUCAUUCUUUAAUAAAAUUGGUUUUCGUUCGAGGUUGGCUUCAACGAUCAGGGAGAUCAACACGAACCUUGAAAGGAUCCAUCGGGAUGCCGACGGUUUGGGGCUGGCCUACAAGCCCCAAGUUGAAGAAGCAUUCGCUACUAUUGCUACUGGAGCCACAAGCAGAAGACAGACCGACUCGAAGAUUGUUCGAAGUGAUGUCCGAGGAAGAGACGAGGAUGAAUCAGAAAUAGUUAUGAAGUUGUUGACCGAAUCUGAAAGUGAUCGUAUUUCAGUUAUUUCCGUAACUGGCAUGGGUGGUUUAGGCAAAACAACUCUAGCUAAAGCCGUUUUCAACACUCCACAGUUUGAUAAUCAUUUUGACAAAAAAAUUUGGGUUUGUGUGGCUGAAAAAGUAGAUAGAAUCGAGGUGGUCUUCAAAAUGAUUCUAGAAUCGUCAACAGGAAGAAAGGCUGAAGUGGAUAAUAGGCAAGUAAUAGUUGACGGAAUUGAAACUGAACUUAAGGAAAAAAGAUAUUUGCUUGUUCUUGACGAUUUGUGGAAUGAUCAAGAAGGAUUGUUGAAUGACUUUUUCACCACUUUGGAGGCACUCAAACCGAAGAAAGGGAGCUGGUGUCUUGUUACUUCUCGUCUCCAAGAAGCGGCAAUUGUUCUGUCAAGACAUCGGCGGAUCAAUUUUACUCGUCAUGACCUAAGAAAGCUAUACGAUGAUGACUGCUGGUCUAUCGUGAAAAAUUGGGCAAAUGUAGGGGAAGAAGUGCCAAAAGAAUUGGAAGCCUUAAGGAAGCGAGUUUUAAGAAGAUGUGACGGUCUACCUCUGGCAGCAACGUUAAUUGGAGGUUUGUUAUCUAAAAAGAGAAAAGAGGAGUGGCUAUCUAUUUUGGAGGAGAGCCUCUUGAAUGGAGAUCAGGGUGGGAUCGAGCAAAUAAUUAAGGUGAGUUUUGAUCAUCUGUCACCUGCACCGGUUAAGAAAUGCUUCGCAUAUUGCUCAAUUUUUGAUCAAGAUACUGAAUUGGAACAAGAUCUACUAGUUGAGCAUUGGAUGGCUGAAGGCUUUCUUCAACCGGAUUCCCAAAAUGAAAGAAUGAUGGAGAAAAUAGGAUAUGAGUAUUUGAGAAUUUUGCUGCAAACUUCCUUAUUGGAAGAAGUAAAAGAUGAGUGGGGAACAUGGUAUAAAAUGCAUGACCUUGUGCAUGAUUUUGCAAAAUCAAUUUUGAAUCGUAAUGGCAGCAAUCAGGACCGUUACCUUGCAGUAUACUCAUCCGAAAGAGAAACCAUCAAUGAAAAACCAUCACUUCGCACAUUAUUUCUGAAGGGUGGCAUAGCUGAUGAUAUGUUGUCAAAGUUCAAAUACUUACAUGUCCUAAAAUUGUUUGGAGCAGAUGUCAAAGAGUUGCCGACCUCCAUUGGCAAACUAAUACAUUUACACUUACUUGACAUUUCAGGUUCUAGGAUUAGAACUUUGCCAGAAUCUCUAUGCAAACUUUACUGUUUGCAAACACUGAGAAUUGGCAUGCUUGUAUGCAGGUUUCCAAAGGAGAUGAGCAAUUUGAUUAGCAUGAGACAUCUUCACCAUUAUGAUUAUGAUACAAGACACCGAAUCCAGAUGCCAUCCGGGAUUGGACGAUGGACUUGUCUUCAAACGUUAGAGUUCUUUAAUAUAGGUCGUCAAGAGGAAGGUCAUGGUAUCCAAGAGCUUGGAACCUUGCAAGAUCUUAAAGGCUCCUUGGAGAUCGGAAAUCUUGAAUUAGUAAAUGGCAAAGAUGAUGCUGAACUGGCGAAGCUAUCUAAAAAGCCAAAUCUGCAUCGGUUGGUAUAUGAGUGGGGCAAUAGGGAUCGGGGAAGUGAUAAUUGUGAUGAAGAUGUGUUGGAAGGCCUCCAACCUCACCCAAAUUUAAAAGAGUUACAAAUUUUGAAGUUCAUGGGUGAUCAGUUUCCACAAUGGUUCAUGACAUUGACAUCACUGGUGGAGUUGCGGGUGGAGGAUUGCACAAGAUGCAGAAAGCUCCCAGCACUAGGACAGCUGCCAUUCCUCAAGUGCCUCUAUUUGACUGGAUUGGAAAACAUAAGAAGCAUUGGGCUUUCAUUCUACAGUACAAGUGCUGAGGAGGACGGCGGAUCAGGAGGUUCAAGCACUAUUAGCAGACAAACAUUCUUUCCAGCCCUUAAAAUUCUCUCUCUUAAAAGCAUGAAAAAUUUGGAAGAGUGGAAGGACGCGCACGAAAUGAUGUCAACCGCAGGUGAAGUACAUGUGAUGGAUGUGUUUCCCGUGCUUGAAACGCUGUCUAUUAGUGAUUGCCCCCGGCUGACCACCAUUCCAACUCCAAGUCGCUUCCCUAGUCUUGAUGUAUUGGAAAUAAAAAGGAAUUGCCAUGUUUCGCUGGCAGAAAAGGUUUUGAGAAUUGAUUCAUUUGGAUAUCCAAAUCCUAAAAAUUCAUUUGGACAGAAAGGCCUCCUUAAGUCUCUUGAGCGAUUUACUGUCGUUGAGUGCGAUGCAUUGACAAGGUUACCAGCGGAGAUGUUCGAGUCGUGUACGUCUCUCCGAGAGCUGAAUUUGUUCGGUUGCCGCAGUCUGGUCUCCUUUCCCCUUGAUUUGCGACGAACCCCUUCUCUCGAGAGCUUCAAAUUAUUCGACUGUCCCAACUUGAUUGCUGAGAUGCCUAGUGGAUUUGGCUAUCUUACCAGCUUAAGGGAAGUGACGAUUGGUCCCUUCUCGGAUGACUCUGCAAUCAAAUUUGAUUGGGCUGGAUUAGCAUCUUCAUCAUCACUCCGACACGUGGCUUUACGUGGAAUGCGUGACACGGAAUCUCUGCCACAUCAGCUUCAAUGCUUGACUACCAUCACAUCACUAAAUCUACAAAACUUCGGAGCAAUCGAAGCCUUACCAGAUUGGCUUGGGAACCUUGCGUCUCUUGAAGAGCUAAUCCUAUUCUGGUGCCAAAAGCUUGAAUAUUUACCCUCCGUAGAUGCCAUGGAACGCCUCAAAUUAAGACUUCUGGAAAUUCGUUUUUGUCCUCUAUUAACCAAAAGAUGCACUCCUGAAAGCGGCUCCGAGUGGCCCAAGAUCUCUAAUAUUCCAAAGCUUGGAAUUCAUCCGGAAGCAUCAAGCACUGAUAACUCCGAAACAUUGUGAAAGGCUCAAAAGUGUGCUCAAGGCAGAGUCAGCCUGGAACCUCUAGAGCAUCUUAUUGCACUUUUCACAUUCUCCAACUACAACAUCAGGCUGUGGUUUCCCAUCAUUUUUGAAGAAAGAUGAGGAGGAAGCAGUGGCUUCCAAGCAAAAAUGUAAUGGAUGGUGAUGUGGUAGGCAAUUGUUCACUUAAGGAGUGAUGAUCAGUCUUCUAGAAAGCAAUGUGCGACGGAGUAAAUGAAGAGGUUUCUUCUAAUUUGAUUUGCUUCAGACAGAGGAAAGCAUAUCAAGGAACCAAUUUGCUGCUGAGACUAGUAGCCAAUUUGGUUGAUCUUGGUUCCAUUCCAUUAUAAGCUCUCUGGAUUCCUCUACUUGUCAAUCGCAUGAACAUAGAUCUCAUAUCAUUGGAAGCAUUGAAAGUGAGAGGAUGAGAAAGGCAAGAGCAUUGGAAGCUAGUUGCUGGAUUGUAGGCGUGAAAAAGUCCUUCAAUUCACAUUUCUAUUAUUUGUUGCUACACUAAAGUUUUGCUCUAUAGUACUGUAUCCCAAGACUUCAGUUUAACUAUACUAAAAGCGUCGUACACAUGGCUAGCUAGAAUGCAUGUAUUACUCUAGCUUGGCUUGCAGACAGAAAGAGCAUUGCAACAGAUACUUGAGAAAAUGAAAAGAGUUAGUCC
Non-coding RNA from Coffea arabica (coffee), 4586 nucleotides. The record is from RefSeq and is a predicted model, not a curated record. NCBI's taxonomy places the organism in Eukaryota, Viridiplantae, Streptophyta, Magnoliopsida, Gentianales, Rubiaceae.